Molecule: RNA transcript, 2189 nt
Organism: Panicum hallii
Lineage: Eukaryota; Viridiplantae; Streptophyta; Magnoliopsida; Poales; Poaceae
Exons: 3
Source: RefSeq, a predicted model, not a curated record
AAAACAUGCCCCAGCUUCGUAGCUUGUAGAUAGAUCUGCUAGAUUUUCUUCAUCUUUGAUCGAAAGCCAAAUUCUUUUCUUUCUUCUCUGUAUACCUUUAUUAUCUGUGAUAUUUGUUAGGCUUUUGAUGCCAUCUUGUUUUUUGAAGGCACCGCUGCAGGCUGUUGGAUCGAUUGCGAGAAAGGACGCAAGAUAAAAAGUGCAGUCGACUUGAUAGUCCAAUCUGUUUGCUGCUGCCUGCUGUUUGUGGUAGUUGACGAUGGGAGGUCUCUCGCGGCGGUUUCUGAAUCUGGUCAUGGACAACCGCAUCCGUGGGGUUAGAUCGCUGCGCUGCAUCGACCUCACGCGCCAGCAGUUCUUCAACACAACCAUACCUGCACUGUCACCGAACGGAAAGGGAUCUGGAUCAGAAGGACCGCAAGACGCUCCCACCUCUCGGGAGACUGUGGCUGUUGCUGGCAGCCAGAGGAACAAACAGGUGGCGGGGGACACCUUAAAGAUGGAGAAGAUUCGGCUUCCCAGCCCAAGCUUCAGCAUCCGUGGCUUUACUUCAGAUCUGAGCGACCAACUGAUGCACUUCUUCCCGAUUGCGGAUCGCAGAGUGGUUUGUGUGGACCAGUUGGGGCGUGGUGUCCUCCUGGAGGCAGACACAGGAAACGUGGUGAUCAUGCCCCCUCUCCACAAGCCCAAGUUGACGCCCAUCUCCCUCUCUGUUCCCAGCCCUGAUUUGGAUGACCAUGACGGUGGCAUCCGCAGCAAACUUUUUGUCAUGGAGAGGAUUCUCAAACCAGAGCCAAGCAGCAUGGAGCAGACGUAUCAGUUCGAGGCCUUUGUCUACCGCAGGCCGGGCCCAACCUUCUUCUACAAGUGCUGGCACUGCCAACUCCUUCCGUCGCUGCCAUAUGUCCAUAGCACCAAGCAGUGGCACAGCUUCCCACAGAUCAGCUCCUAUGCUGUGGUCAACGGUGGCUCUGAGAUUUGCAUAUCCGUCGAAGGUCUUGGGACCUAUUGCCUUAACACGACGAGCUACACAUGGACUGAAGUCGGCAAGUGGACGCUACCCUUCAAUGGCAAGGUUGAGUAUGUACCUGAGCUGAAGCUCUGGUUUGGCAUUUCUGCCAGUGACCAGACCUUGGCUGCUGCUGACCUCUCUGCAAUGGACUCCCAGCCACAGCUACUGGGUAGGUGGAAGGAGCUUGACCUGCCAGAGGAAUGGAAGGAAUGCAAGGAUUCUCAACUUAUCAAUCUGGGGUCUGGCAAGUUCUGCAUCGUGAGGUUCUUACACACUACGACUGCCAAGGGUGACAUCAGUGAUGAAUUAAUUGACCAGAAUCUUGCUGUCCUGACCGGUGUGGAGGUGGCGCUGCAUGCACACCGUAGCAAUGCCAAUGCAAGUGCCAAUAAGGGCAGUGGAAGAGUGGAACUCAAAUUUUCAAAUCACAAAUCUAGACGUUACAAGUCUAAUAGCAGCAAUGGUAUCUCAGCAGUGUUCUGAACAGUUCCAGAGCUGGGCUUACAAGACCGUUUUUAUGCAUCAUGUUUAGUAUGGUAAUUUUGGCACUCAAGACUUUUAAGAGAGUGUGGCGUCGUUUCUAGUUCAAGUAUGACAUUAAAGUGUUUUCUAGUACCUGUGUUGUCCAUUCCGUACUGUAUUGUGAUGUUGGCUCCUGCCUGCCCAUGUUGAUUCUAAGGCAACCAAACAUCUCGUCCUGGGAGCUCAAUAAGUAAUAUCUCCAACUUAUCUUUAUACUUAACUAUCUCCAACUUGGAUUACUCCCGAGGGAAUGCUGGGAAAUUGAAUACCAGCAAAUUCAAAUGAUAUGAGCUAAAUUAAAUUUCGCUUAAAUUUGUCAUGCGACAAAGCUUGGUCGGGGUGUUCCUAUUGCAGCUUUGUUGCACACCAAGACAUAGUAUUUACAUAUGGAAGUUCUCAACUGCUGAUAUGCAGCAAGGGAUGUGUGUUUUAAUUAACAAUCUGUUUUUGUCUAUUAGUUUAUGGCUUCAUUUGGAUUUUUGUGUAGUCCAUGGCUGGGAUUUACAGAAGUCAGAUGGUUUGUCAUUAUUGAUCUGUUGUGAGUCACCUAUAGCUGUCUAGUGACCAUCUGCAUGAUCUCAUUAAUUUGAGCACCAUUAAUACAUCUUACUACUUUAUCUAUUUCUCAAUGGACAAUAACCCUUUCCGCCAGCCG